AUGACACUGUUGCCUGCUGACUAUGUGCAGGACUACCUGGCUGGACCUCUAUCUCAAUGUCAGAAAAUUAGGAACCUGAAGGGAAAAUGGAAGGCGCCUUUGAUGGACAUUCAGCCCGGAGGGGAACAUCAAAUCUCAUAUGAUUUUGCCCUUGUUUGUGCAGAGUACAAGGAUGAUCCCUACAUCUAUACUUUUGAUAUGCUGAAGCACAUUGGCAUUGAGCCAAGGCAGUGCGGUGGUGGCGGGUACAGGCGCAGCGCGAUGACCUUUCGGCGCACCGGCUCUAGGAUGACCAGGGGCUUGGUAGCUGGGUCCGACAUCCCUAUGGUGGACAGAGCUGAUGGCGUAUGGAAGUGGCCGGUGGUGGGCAGGGAACAAUGUGGCCCCGUCGUCGUCCUCUUCGUUCAGCUUGACAUGACCGUUGUUCAGCUGAAGACAAGAUUACAUGGGGACGAUUAA
RNAcentral lists this ribosomal RNA (459 nucleotides) under Triticum aestivum (bread wheat). Its description in RNAcentral is "partial small subunit ribosomal RNA". Lineage: Eukaryota; Viridiplantae; Streptophyta; Magnoliopsida; Poales; Poaceae. The record is from RNAcentral.